This 301-nucleotide ribosomal RNA is filed under the name uncultured bacterium. RNAcentral's name for it is "partial 16S ribosomal RNA". It matches the Rfam family "Bacterial small subunit ribosomal RNA", at positions 509 to 807 of the family's 1533-position model. The record is from RNAcentral.
CAGCAGCCGCGGGAAUACGAAGGGGGCUAGCGUUGUUCGGAAUUACUGGGCGUAAAGGGCGCGUAGGCGGCCAUUCAAGUUAGAUGUGAAAGCCCUGGGCUCAACCUAGGAAUUGCAUUUGAUACUGUUUGGCUUGAGUUCGGGAGAGGUGAGUGGAAUUCCCAGUGUAGAGGUGAAAUUCGUAGAUAUUGGGAAGAACACCGGUGGCGAAGGCGGCAACCUGGUCCAUUACUGACGCUGAGGCGCGACAGCGUGGGGAGCAAACAGGAUUAGAUACCCCUGUAGUCCCUGUCUCUUAUAC